UUCUCCAGAACCUUUCCUUUUAACAAUUCUCCGCAGAAACCCUAAUGGACGCCACCAUCAUCUCUCUCACCCCUCUUCUGAGAAACCCUAAUGGAGGAAUCCAUCAUCUCUUUCACUAUUUCCCCAUGAAUAGAAGAGGGCGGUAGUGCUGUCGCUUAAGCAUUGCAUCUCUCAAACGAUUUGUGGUUGCAGGGGAAACAGGAACAAAGGCUCCGAUAAAGUUGUGGUUCAUAACAAUAGCUGGUAAAGAUGUGGUGUGUAUAAGAUCAUUUCGGUUGACUUAGAAGGCUUAUAAGAUAGAGUACAAGACAAUUGAGAGUGUGUUGAAGACUAUAAAUCCUCACACUAGAGAGGUUCGUUAAUGAUCCAUUAACACUCUGCUUUCUUCAAUAAAUUUACUUAUUC
This 405-nucleotide long non-coding RNA is filed under the name Helianthus annuus (common sunflower). RNAcentral's name for it is "hypothetical non coding rna". The record is from RNAcentral. Lineage: Eukaryota; Viridiplantae; Streptophyta; Magnoliopsida; Asterales; Asteraceae.